Molecule: transfer RNA, 72 nt
Filed under: Schistosoma japonicum
Lineage: Eukaryota; Metazoa; Platyhelminthes; Trematoda; Strigeidida; Schistosomatidae
Description: tRNA-Ser
Source: RNAcentral
GGCUCAGUGAUCCAAUGGUAAAUCGCUCGUCGCAAAGCCAGAAAGUCCUGGGUUCGAUCCCCAACAGGGUCA